Molecule: ribosomal RNA, 1504 nt
Filed under: Helicobacter pylori
Lineage: Bacteria; Pseudomonadati; Campylobacterota; Epsilonproteobacteria; Campylobacterales; Helicobacteraceae
Description: bacterial SSU rRNA
Rfam family: Bacterial small subunit ribosomal RNA
Source: RNAcentral
UUUAUGGAGAGUUUGAUCCUGGCUCAGAGUGAACGCUGGCGGCGUGCCUAAUACAUGCAAGUCGAACGAUGAAGCUUCUAGCUUGCUAGAAUGCUGAUUAGUGGCGCACGGGUGAGUAACGCAUAGGUUAUGUGCCUCUUAGUUUGGGAUAGCCAUUGGAAACGAUGAUUAAUACCAGAUACUCCCUACGGGGGAAAGAUUUAUCGCUAAGAGAUCAGCCUAUGUCCUAUCAGCUUGUUGGUAAGGUAAUGGCUUACCAAGGCUAUGACGGGUAUCCGGCCUGAGAGGGUGAACGGACACACUGGAACUGAGACACGGUCCAGACUCCUACGGGAGGCAGCAGUAGGGAAUAUUGCUCAAUGGGGGAAACCCUGAAGCAGCAACGCCGCGUGGAGGAUGAAGGUUUUAGGAUUGUAAACUCCUUUUGUUAGAGAAGAUAAUGACGGUAUCUAACGAAUAAGCACCGGCUAACUCCGUGCCAGCAGCCGCGGUAAUACGGAGGGUGCAAGCGUUACUCGGAAUCACUGGGCGUAAAGAGCGCGUAGGCGGGAUAGUCAGUCAGGUGUGAAAUCCUAUGGCUUAACCAUAGAACUGCAUUUGAAACUACUAUUCUAGAGUGUGGGAGAGGUAGGUGGAAUUCUUGGUGUAGGGGUAAAAUCCGUAGAGAUCAAGAGGAAUACUCAUUGCGAAGGCGACCUGCUGGAACAUUACUGACGCUGAUUGCGCGAAAGCGUGGGGAGCAAACAGGAUUAGAUACCCUGGUAGUCCACGCCCUAAACGAUGGAUGCUAGUUGUUGGAGGGCUUAGUCUCUCCAGUAAUGCAGCUAACGCAUUAAGCAUCCCGCCUGGGGAGUACGGUCGCAAGAUUAAAACUCAAAGGAAUAGACGGGGACCCGCACAAGCGGUGGAGCAUGUGGUUUAAUUCGAAGAUACACGAAGAACCUUACCUAGGCUUGACAUUGAGAGAAUCCGCUAGAAAUAGUGGAGUGUCUGGCUUGCCAGACCUUGAAAACAGGUGCUGCACGGCUGUCGUCAGCUCGUGUCGUGAGAUGUUGGGUUAAGUCCCGCAACGAGCGCAACCCCCUUUCUUAGUUGCUAACAGGUCAUGCUGAGAACUCUAAGGAUACUGCCUCCGUAAGGAGGAGGAAGGUGGGGACGACGUCAAGUCAUCAUGGCCCUUACGCCUAGGGCUACACACGUGCUACAAUGGGGUGCACAAAGAGAAGCAAUACUGCGAAGUGGAGCCAAUCUUCAAAACACCUCUCAGUUCGGAUUGUAGGCUGCAACUCGCCUGCAUGAAGCUGGAAUCGCUAGUAAUCGCAAAUCAGCCAUGUUGCGGUGAAUACGUUCCCGGGUCUUGUACUCACCGCCCGUCACACCAUGGGAGUUGUGUUUGCCUUAAGUCAGGAUGCUAAAUUGGCUACUGCCCACGGCACACACAGCGACUGGGGUGAAGUCGUAACAAGGUAACCGUAGGUGAACCUGCGGUUGGAUCACCUCCUUU